CUCAUUUCAGAUCUGCGGCAGGAACUUGGACCAGUUCACACGCUAGUGAUUUUGCCAACUUCCUGGAUAUUCAUUCUGGUUCUGCACAAAAGAGCCACAUUUCCUUCUGGAAUCGGGACCAGGACACAGACACAGCAGCCGACCCUGGAAACUGUCGUGAGGAUUUGAGAUUGUGAAUGAAAAGGCCAGGCCCCUAGCAUGUGCCAGAUCGAGGCCGUCAUGGCCGUCUGUGGGUCAGCUCCCGGAGCCCAGGGUCAAAAGGGCUGACGGGCCCCCUGGCAUCACAUCUUGGGCCCCUGCAAGUGGGGUGACCCUGGGUGUGCCCUCUCCGUGCUGGUGCUGCCCUGGGAGUGUGGCCCCCAGACUGGCAGCCUUGCCGUCGUGGGAGUCUGUUGGAAGUGGAGUGUCGAGCCCCGCCCAGCACUCCUGAGUCAGAACCAGGGCUUUGUGUGCACCGGCCUGGAGCACACGGAGACAGAGGCCACCUGUCCCAGAGGAGGCUCCCUCUCCCACUCCUGUGCCCUGCCGUUUGUGUGAGCGGUGCCCGAGCUGCUGGCCUGAGGAAGCAUGGGAGAUGUGCAGAGCGAGCUGGGCCGCCCCAGCCAUCCCCGCAGAACUACGACGUCUUCUGGAGAUGCCUGCAUCCUUGGCUCGUGGCCCCUCCCUCCAUCCUUCACAGCGGAAGUGCUGCACCUCUCCACCUCUUUCUUCGUCUUCCUCUGAUCGCCUCUUCUACCCCCGUCUCCUGCUUUCAAGGACCCUCUACCACGUUUCCAUGGCCUGUCCUGUCACGGUCUCACGAUGGCUGCUGUGUCUCCAGACAUCAUGUCUGCAUUCAAGGGAGGAAAGGGGGAGAAGGCUUCCAGGACAGCGCC
Molecule: long non-coding RNA, 875 nt
Organism: Camelus dromedarius (Arabian camel)
Lineage: Eukaryota; Metazoa; Chordata; Mammalia; Artiodactyla; Camelidae
Exons: 7
Source: RefSeq, a predicted model, not a curated record